Molecule: ribosomal RNA, 597 nt
Filed under: uncultured Pseudomonadota bacterium
Lineage: Bacteria; Pseudomonadati; Pseudomonadota
Description: bacterial SSU rRNA
Rfam family: Bacterial small subunit ribosomal RNA
Source: RNAcentral
GCUGGCGGCGUGCCUAACACAUGCAAGUCGAGCGCGAAAGGGGGGGCAACUCCCCGAGUAGAGCGGCGCACGGGUGAGUAACGCGUGGGUAACCUACCUCCGGGCGGGGGAUAACCACUCGAAAGGGUGGCUAAUACCGCAUGAGACCACGGGGUCCUCGGAUCCUGGGGUUAAAGGCGGCACCGGCUUGCCGGUGCUGUCACCUGAUGAUGGGCCCGCGUACGAUUAGCUAGUUGGUAGGGUAACGGCCUACCAAGGCUGCGAUCGUUAGCUGGUCUGAGAGGAUGACCAGCCACACUGGAACUGGAACACGGUCCAGACUCCUACGGGAGGCAGCAGUGAGGAAUAUUGCGCAAUGGGGGAAACCCUGACGCAGCAACGCCGCGUGGGUGAAGAAGGCCUUCGGGUCGUAAAGCCCUUUCGGACGGGACGAACGCUCCGCGGGGAUAAUCCGCGGAGUCUGACGGUACCGUAGGAAGAAGCACCGGCUAACUCCGUGCCAGCAGCCGCGGUAAUACGGAGGGUGCAAGCGUUGUUCGGAAUUACUGGGCGUAAAGCGCGUGUAGGCGGCCUGGUAAGUCAGAUGUGAAAGCCCUC